CCCCUUCAUCUUAUCUUCUAGCUUCUCACUCAGUACCCUAUUGAGUUCUUGUACGUCAUGCUGCAUGAAGGAAUCAUACGUAUCCCAUCCAAAAGAUUUGGUCAGUUCCUUUGUUGCAACACUGGUGUCAUUAUAUUGCAGCUUAUAGAAUAAACUCUGUAGAGCCAAAGGAAUGCUUCCAGUAGGCAUGUCAUUCUCAGUUGUUGGCAUGUGGUACACAGCCUUUCUAAAAUAAGGAAUGUGGUAGAGUGUCUGUAGGAGAGAAUUCAUAUAACAUGUAGCUCCUUGGUUCUUCAAUCCUACAUACCCAGUCUCCUUUUUCGAGUCAUAUGACCAAUAAUCCAGAACCUUACGAACAGCAACUUCAG
This 368-nucleotide unclassified non-coding RNA is filed under the name Hevea brasiliensis (rubber tree). The record is from RNAcentral. Lineage: Eukaryota; Viridiplantae; Streptophyta; Magnoliopsida; Malpighiales; Euphorbiaceae.